UUGACGGGGGCCCGCACAAGCGGUGGAGCAUGUGGUUUAAUUCGAUGCAACGCGAAGAACCUUACCUACUCUUGACAUCCAGAGAAUUUGCUAGAGAUAGCUUAGUGCCUUCGGGAACUCUGAGACAGGUGCUGCAUGGCUGUCGUCAGCUCGUGUUGUGAAAUGUUGGGUUAAGUCCCGCAACGAGCGCAACCCUUAUCCUUUGUUGCCAGCACGUAAUGUUGGGAACUCAAAGGAGACUGCCGGUGAUAAACCGGAGGAAGGUGGGGAUGACGUCAAGUCAUCAUGGCCCUUACGAGUAGGGCUACACACGUGCUACAAUGGCGUAUACAAAGAGAAGCGACCUCGCGAGAGCAAGCGGACCUCAUAAAGUACGUCGUAGUCCGGAUUGGAGUCUGCAACUCGACUCCAUGAAGUCGGAAUCGCUAGUAAUCGUAGAUCAGAAUGCUACGUGAAUACGUUCCCGGGCCUUGUACACACCGCCCGUCACACCAUGGGAGUGGGUUGCAAAGAAGUAGGUAGCUUACCUUCGGGAGGGCGCUUACACUUUGUGAUCAUGACUGGGUGAGUCGUA
This 574-nucleotide ribosomal RNA is filed under the name Pectobacterium carotovorum. RNAcentral describes it as "bacterial SSU rRNA". It matches the Rfam family "Bacterial small subunit ribosomal RNA", at positions 910 to 1490 of the family's 1533-position model. Lineage: Bacteria; Pseudomonadati; Pseudomonadota; Gammaproteobacteria; Enterobacterales; Pectobacteriaceae. The record is from RNAcentral.